RNAcentral lists this ribosomal RNA (665 nucleotides) under Crepidotus calolepis. RNAcentral describes it as "eukaryotic LSU rRNA". It matches the Rfam family "Eukaryotic large subunit ribosomal RNA", at positions 1 to 649 of the family's 3401-position model. The record is from RNAcentral. Lineage: Eukaryota; Fungi; Basidiomycota; Agaricomycetes; Agaricales; Crepidotaceae.
UUGACCUCAAAUCAGGUAGGACUACCCGCUGAACUUAAGCAUAUCAAUAAGCGGAGGAAAAGAAACUAACAAGGAUUCCCCUAGUAACUGCGAGUGAAGCGGGAAAAGCUCAAAUUUGAAAUCUGGCAGUCUCUGAUUGUCCGAGUUGUAAUCUAGAGAAGUGUUACCCGCGUUGGACCGUGUACAAGUCUCCUGGAAUGGAGCGUCAUAGAGGGUGAGAAUCCCGUCUUUGACACGGACUCCCAAGGCUUUGUGGUGCGCUCUCAAAGAGUCGAGUUGUUUGGGAAUGCAGCUCAAAAUGGGUGGUAAAUGCCAUCUAAAGCUAAAUACAGGCGAGAGACCGAUAGCGAACAAGUACCGUGAGGGAAAGAUGAAAAGAACUUUGGAAAGAGAGUUAAACAGUACGUGAAAUUGCUGAAAGGGAAACGCUUGAAGUCAGUCGCGUUGGCUGGAAAUCAACCUUGCUUUUGUUGGGUGUACUUUCCAGUUGACGGGUCAGCAUCAGUUUUGACCAGUGGAAAAAGGCGUAGGAAAUGUGGCUUCCUCGGAAGUGUUAUAGUCCUGCGUUGUAUACAUUGGUUGGGACUGAGGAACUCAGCACGCCGCAAGGCCGGGGUUCGCCCACGUACGUGCUUAGGAUGCUGGCAAAAUGGCUUUAAUCGACC